This 813-nucleotide long non-coding RNA is filed under the name Papio anubis (olive baboon). RNAcentral describes it as "lncRNA (ENSPANG00000047280.1)". Lineage: Eukaryota; Metazoa; Chordata; Mammalia; Primates; Cercopithecidae. The record is from RNAcentral.
AUGAAGAGAAGAUUUUCAACUGGGGCAGAGGAAUCCACCAUCUUCUUAGAAAAUUGGAACAAGGAUACAUUUUUUCCAAAUCAGCCACAGAGAUUACCUGCCACAGUGAAGACUGGAAUCCAGAGGAAGGCAAAGAAAUACCUGGAUGACCUAAGCAGUUGUGUCAUAGAAGACUCAAGAAUGAGACAGUUGUUUCACUCUUCAAAUAUGUUAAGGAAAGACAGAAUUAUGCAGAUUAUGCAGAACUUCAUCUGGACCUGUUGGAGAGAACUACCACCACCCAGAAUUCCUGAGCUUCCAUCUGAGGCCGUAAUAAAUGAGGCCAUAAUUAUUUUCCCUGGCAUUCAGAAAGAAUCCCAAGGGAAUUGUGUAUGGCAAGAAAGCAUAUACAUGGAUAGUUAGGAGGCCAGAGUAGCAAAUUACUAGCUGCCCCCAAAUACUGCCCUCAUAUUUUAAUAAGCAUCCAACUAGAAACUUCAUUUUCCAGCCUCCAGUAGAAUGUGUAUAGAAGCAAUGUGUGCAUUCUGAAACUUCACUGUUACUUUGUUGAAAAGAAAUAUCUUGCUCUGGACUUCUCCCCUUUUCAUGACAUAAAACACAGCCAUGUUAAAUGGAAUAUGAGUCCCUAAAGAUUGUCCUUUAUGAAACAUAGCUGCCCCUAUCACACUGACCUGGACUGACCAAAGUGUUACCCGAAAAGUAAUCUCUAUGUUACUCAAACCAUUUUAUUUCUAGUUCCCUUUGUUACAACAGCUUAGCCUUUGCCAUGACUAAUAUAUCAUUCACAUUUCUUUCCCUUUGUAAGGACUAUGA